This 3215-nucleotide long non-coding RNA is filed under the name Carassius auratus (goldfish). RNAcentral describes it as "lncRNA (ENSCARG00000034113.1)". The record is from RNAcentral. Lineage: Eukaryota; Metazoa; Chordata; Actinopteri; Cypriniformes; Cyprinidae.
AUGGGCAAAUGUUUGUUUAAUGACAAGUGGUUGGAGGACGAAAAGUAUCGGGGGUGGCUGAAGAAAACAGCCAGUAAUCAUGAAGCGAGGUGUGCUUUAUGUAAAAAGACGAUAAAGCUGGGGACAAUGGGCCACAUAGCGCUCGAUUCACACAUGAAAGCAGAGAAGCACAAGAAGUGUGUGUCGUCGCAAGCAAGUAGUUUGCCCAUAAGUAUGUUCUCAUCGAGCACUUCGACCUCUCAGCCUUCCACUUCAAGCAAUGCCUUCGGCAGCUUUGCGAAUGUAGCUACACUUAAGGCCGAAAUACUGUGGGUAUUUCAAACCGUAAGCCGCCACAACUCGUACACCUCAAAUGAGGACAUCCACCUAGUUUUUCAAGCAAUGUUCCCUGACUCAGAGUGUGCGAGUACGUUCACAUGUGGAAGGGAUAAAACCGCAUAUUUAGCACGAUUUGGUGUUGCCCCAUACAUAAAGAAGGAACUCAUUUCACGGGCAAACAAGGAUGCUUUCAUCAUAAUGUUCGAUGAGUCCAUGAACACAACAACGAAAACUAAACAGUUGGACUUGCACGUCAGAUGUUGGUCAACUGACGAGACCGGGACCCCGAUUGUCAGGUCUCGCUAUCUGGGUUCUCAGUUUUUGGGCCACUCAACGGCAGAAGACUUGCUGGAACAUUUUAAGGAGGGCACCAAGGAACUUAAUUUACGGAACUUGCUUUCUGUAUCAAUGGAUGGACCUGCAGUCAAUUGGAAAUUCAUGGAUCUCCUACAAUUGGAACAUGGAGAACAGUUUGGGGGGAUUCAACUCCAAGUGGUAGGAAGCUGUGGUAUCCACACCCUACACAAUUCAUUUAAAGGUGGAUUUGAGGUGUGGCAUGUAGAAAAGGUGCUGAGAUCUCUCCACUGUCUCUUCAAUAAUGCCCCAGCAAGAAGAGAGGAUUUCACAUCUGCAACACUGUCGUCCACAUUCCCCUUAUCCUUCUGUGGCCAUCGCUGGCUCGAAAAUGUGCCUGCUGCAGAGAGGGCCAUUGAAAUUUGGCCCUCUAUUGAGAAGUUUGUUGACCAAGUGUCAACAAAGAAGGUGAAGAACCCAGGAAAUGCAUCAUUCGACACCCUCUCUGAGGCAAGAAAGGAUCCUCUUAUCUGUGCCAAACUCCACUUCUUUGUGUUCAUAGCAAGAGUCUUUCAACCAUUUCUGGAAAAAUAUCAAAAAGAUGCUCCCAUGAUGCCCUUCCUGUGGAAUGACUUGGAGGAUUUGAUAAGGAGCCUUCUCAAACGAUUCAUCAAGCGUGAUGCUUUGCCCUCGAGUCCAUAUAAGCUGGUGAGGCUCGAUGUCACAGACCAGAAGCUUUGGCUUGGCACAAAAGAUGUUGACAUUGGCAUGGGUGCAGCAGCUGUUAUCAAGGUGAUGUGAUUUCUCAACAGUUUGAGAAGGCCCUUUCCAAUGAAGCCAAAUCGCUGGAAUUUGCAAACUUCCAGCCCUCAGUGUCCAGGGUUGAUACAUUCCUGUCUCAGAAUCUCAGUUCCUACACUGAUCUGUGGAACUUCUGCAAGAAGUUACUACUCCUCUCACAUGGACAAGCUGAAGUGGAGCGGGGCUUCUCCAUCAACAAAGAAGUGGAGACGUGCAACAUGUCUGAGGAGACAGUAGUUAUUCAAAGGCUCAUCUGUGAUCAAGUGAAAGUUUGUGGGGGGGUGACAAAAGUGCCUCUUACAAAAGAGCUAAUCAGUUACUGUGCAUCAGCACGGAGCCGUUACCGGGCACAUUUGGAAGAGGAAAAAAAGAAGAGAGAGACCGAAGAAAACUCCAAGAAAAGAAAGUAUGUCGAAGAGGACCUGAAAGAGCUAAAGCAAAAGAAAAAAUCAAUUCGAGAAAUUUGCAUAUCUUUGGAGAAUGAUGCAGAUAGAAUGGCAGAGCAAGCCGAAAGUUCAGGUGGUAGUAAAAUGGCCACAUUGAUCACAGAAUCCAAUUCUUUGAGGAGACGAGCUAAAGAUAAACAUAAAGAACUAAUUGAGUUGGAUGCAGAAAUUGAAAACAAGAUUGUAGAAUUGACAAAACUGUCAUGAGGGCUUUGAGUUUGAGAACUUAAAAGUUGAAGGUUUACAUGUACCUUUAGUUAUUUAUUUGGAUUAUUUGCUGAAUGUUACUGUCUGGGCCUAUAAAAUCAGUUCCGUUUUUGUUUGAUCAGCACUGUGGUUUUAUAGGGAAGUCCGAAGAUUUUUCUCUAUUAUUUGACAUCCCAUGUAAGCAUGACUGUUUUCAUGCUAUUCUGUUUGUAUACUGUUAUACAUGCAUAUCUUUGGAUUGCCAGAUUGGCAUUAAUCCCAUUGUUGACCAAGUUUGAUGUCUUCACAGCGCUAAAAGAAGUAGCUGAACAAAGCACUUUUAAAUAAAUUUCUGAUCCUGAUCUUUCCUACAUUUUUCUGACUGGAUCUUCAUUCAUUAGGUCUAUGCAUAGAUUAUUGAAUGUGCUUGCAUUUAUCUGUGUCUGAAAUGAUACAAAACACUAAUCAGACCCUGAACAACAUUUUCUUGGGGGAGAACCCCCAAACCCAGCUCAAGGCUAUUUGGCAGCCACAUUUACCCAUAAUUUAGAUCAAGUAUGACGAAUACUUUAACUUUUGUGUAUUUGUGGGCUUUUAUAAUGUACUGGGGCUGUCUUCCAUGUCAUUUUCAGACUGCUAUGAGGGGCCAGAAUUAAGAAAUUACCUGAAGUACCUUAAAGGCUGAUAGUUUAUACAUAGUCAACAAUGUAAGGGUUGUAAGGUCAAUCAGCACUUGGUAUAAACGUUUUCGCGUCCCUUUGACCUUUCUUGAGUGUGACUCUGUUGAGCUGUGCCACGCUAAUGCUUCGUGGUAAAGUCUUAAAUUUUCCUUUUAGAGGACUUAAAAAGGUCUUAAAAGUUAUUAAAUUUGCUGUAAAAAAAUGUGCAGAGACCCUGUCUAUCUGCUGAAGGUGAACCAAAAACAACUGAUAGCAGCUCUCAGUGAUAUGUGUCGGGUCCCCGCUAUAAUAGCAGCAACAUUCACAAUUGCUUACAGAACAAGCGGGAACCCAGUGUGCCUGUAGCUUUCUCUAUUUCAGUUUUAUCACGUGAUAGAAAGUCUAAGGGCUUCUCAAGCCGAAGGGCAAACUCAUCUAAUCUGCGGCCUAUUAUGCAUCAAAUUAAGAUUGAUAUGAAGACACCAAGCACUGCCAUCAAGUUAGCACUUUU